This 253-nucleotide ribosomal RNA is filed under the name uncultured bacterium. Its description in RNAcentral is "partial 16S ribosomal RNA". It matches the Rfam family "Bacterial small subunit ribosomal RNA", at positions 524 to 776 of the family's 1533-position model. The record is from RNAcentral.
UACGUAGGGGGCAAGCGUUGUCCGGAUUUAUUGGGCGUAAAGAGCGUGUAGGCGGCCAUACAGGUCAGCUGUGAAAACUCGAGGCUCAACCUCGAGACGUCGGUUGAAACCGUAUGGCUAGAGUCCGGAAGAGGAGAAUGGAAUUCCCGGUGUAGCGGUGAAAUGCGCAGAUAUCGGGAAGAACACCCGUGGCGAAGGCGGUUCUCUGGGACGGUACUGACGCUGAGACGCGAAAGCGUGGGGAGCGAACAGG